This is a long non-coding RNA of Culex quinquefasciatus (southern house mosquito), 1244 nucleotides long. RefSeq lists it as uncharacterized. The record is from RefSeq and is a predicted model, not a curated record. Lineage: Eukaryota; Metazoa; Arthropoda; Insecta; Diptera; Culicidae. The transcript is spliced from 3 exons.
AUUGGCCAAAUGAAUUCAAUGCGAAGUUUAAUUUUCAAGUGUCGUUCCUGGGGUUUUUUGAUUUGUUCUUUUCUUGGGAAAGUUGAUUAUUAUGACUAUGAGGAAAAUAUUAUGCGGUUCAAGGUACUAAACACCUGACACCUUCACGACUGAUUCACCAACUAUAGCGCAAUACACGGUUUGAAGAACUUUUACAACCAUGUAUGCAGCUGGUUUACAGUACGUGCUCAGUUUUGAGAACUGGCUCACCAUCUCCUCGAAUACCUGAGACCAGACUCGAUUUUUGCAAUCCUCGUUGCGUAAACUUCUAUCAAACAUCAACUUUUUUUGUUCCGGAACUUCAACAUUAACAACUUUUGCCAACUCUGGGCAUAAAAUUGGGUCCUGCCUGCUGCAGUUUUGACCCGGAGUCCUGGAUGCACUCAACUACGUUAGCAUGGAGCUGUAAUGUACAGUAUUGGACGACGUAGCACUCUAAAAUAAUUGUUUACAGAGGAAACUAUUAGGCCGAUAACAUCGCACCUUACUCCAACAACGCGCGCUCCUUCAACUUCUUUAACUCACCGUCAGGUAAGUCACCUUCCAAUUUCGUAACUACUUGUUACUAAAACCUCCUACUAAACUCCUACUAAACUCCUAGAUACUGGUUCAAAAUUUAUGCUGUCCAGAUUUCACUGUUUGUAACAAACUGUCCUGAUAACACUGAGAUUCUGACGAAAAAUAACUUAUUAACUUCAACAGACCUCACGAAUCAAACAAACGUACACAAACAGGAAACGGACCAAACAUUUAAACAAUUUCCAGGACUUACUAUUUUGCCAAGUAUCAUGAUUGCUCUGCCUUACGAACAACCAAGCUUCUCCAUCUCACUAAGUGAGAGAAGUAACGAAACUCCUACUACUUCCUUAUCAGCCUUCUGCUGAACUCCUUUUACCAAUUUGAAUCAAUUUGUUGAAAUAUCUAGGAAUUCUUAACUAAAAGAAUCAGAAUUUCUGUAAAAAUUGUUCCUUGAUAAAACUCCUACAAGUCUCCACAACUCAAACAAAAGCUUGUGAUGUGGAACUCAACUCACACUUCUUUCUAACUUGCGACUAAUUUCAAAAUAUUCUCACCUCUUUGGUAUUCUAGUACGUAUUCUUGCUCAGUAGUUCAGGUUAAAAUUCAAUAUGUUCUUGAUUUCAUCAUCUUUCAUGCUAGUACUGGGAUGUACUAAAUUAGUUCUCAGGGAUUUGGGUAUAAAUUAU